AAUGGCUGUGGGGAAAGCUGUCACCUCUGAUAACUCUGUAUGCCAUGAACCUGUUGUUGAUGAUUUUAGUUGCCAUGUAGAACAGCCUGCUAAGUUACAAUAUUGUAUCUGGAAGCAAGAUGUGUCCAACGGGAAGAUGGCUCAGUCAUGUCUUCUUGAAAUUCCUGAGCAUGUUGUGGCAAGUCGCUGGCUCCAUGGAGCAAGGUUUGUAGAUUUGGUUGACUGGGAAAGGGAAGUCAGGUAUGAAUGUGAAGUUCAUCAUACCGAAAAGGGUCAGAUGUUCUUAGGGCGUGGUUGGUACAAAUUUGCCAAGGAAAGGUGCCUGCUUGAUGGAGA
Long non-coding RNA from Vicia villosa (hairy vetch), 336 nucleotides. RefSeq lists it as uncharacterized. The transcript is spliced from 3 exons. Lineage: Eukaryota; Viridiplantae; Streptophyta; Magnoliopsida; Fabales; Fabaceae. The record is from RefSeq and is a predicted model, not a curated record.